This 557-nucleotide long non-coding RNA is filed under the name Homo sapiens (human). RNAcentral's name for it is "non-protein coding lnc-MFSD12-1:2". Lineage: Eukaryota; Metazoa; Chordata; Mammalia; Primates; Hominidae. The record is from RNAcentral.
GGGACCCCUUCUCGCCCGCGCGUGGACCCUCGCCGCGCUCUUGCUUGACAGUCACCACGAAGCCCCCAUGCUGGCCCGGAGCCUUGCCGCCCGCCGGCCUGGAGCCAAGGAUACCGCGGUCAGCCCCGUCCCAAGAAUCUCCCCUCCCCCAAAAGCCCACCCCAGGGCGUUUUGACCCCCGACGGCGGGGCUGCAGCGAGAGUGCAUGAGCCCGAGGAGGCAGGGUCUGAUGGGGCACCGUCUGCGUCCUGCUGUCCUUCCCCUUCAUCUUCAGCCCCUGCCUGGGCUGUGGGGCGGCCACGCCCGAGUGGGCUGCCCUCCUCUACUACGGCCCGUUCAUCGUGAUCUUCCAGUUUGGCUGGGCCUCCACACAGAUCUCCCACCUCAGCCUCAUCCCGGAGCUCGUCACCAACGACCAUGAGAAGGUGGAGCUCACGGCACUCAGAACCUGUCCCUGCUGGUGGUGGGUGUCGGCGCCGUGUUCUCACUGCUAUUCCACCUGGGCACCCGGGAGAGGCGCCGGCCGCAUGCGGAGGAGCCAGGCGAGCACACCCCCC